GGGUGACUGCGUACCUUUUGUAUAAUGGGUCAGCGACUUAUAUUCUGUAGCAAGGUUAACCGUAUAGGGGAGCCGCAGGGAAACCGAGUCUUAACUGGGCGUUAAGUUGCAGGGUAUAGACCCGAAACCCGGUGAUCUAGCCAUGGGCAGGUUGAAGGUUGGGUAACACUAACUGGAGGACCGAACCGACUAAUGUUGAAAAAUUAGCGGAUGACUUGUGGCUGGGGGUGAAAGGCCAAUCAAACCGGGAGAUAGCUGGUUCUCCCCGAAAGCUAUUUAGGUAGCGCCUCGUGAACUCAUCUUCGGGGGUAGAGCACUGUUUCGGCUAGGGGGUCAUCCCGACUUACCAACCCGAUGCAAACUACGAAUACCGAAGAAUGUUAUCACGGGAGACACACGGCGGGUGCUAACGUCCGUCGUGAAGAGGGAAACAACCCAGACCGCCAGCUAAGGUCCCAAAGUCAUGGUUAAGUGGGAAACGAUGUGGGAAGGCCCAGACAGCCAGGAUGUUGGCUUAGAAGCAGCCAUCAUUUAAAGAAAGCGUAAUAGCUCACUGGUCGAGUCGGCCUGCGCGGAAGAUGUAACGGGGCUAAACCAUGCACCGAAGCUGCGGCAGCGACACUAUGUGUUGUUGGGUAGGGGAGCGUUCUGUAAGCCGUUGAAGGUGGCCUGUGAGGGUUGCUGGAGGUAUCAGAAGUGCGAAUGCUGACAUAAGUAACGAUAAUGCGGGUGAAAAACCCGCACGCCGGAAGACCAAGGGUUCCUGUCCAACGUUAAUCGGGGCAGGGUGAGUCGACCCCUAAGGCGAGGCCGAAAGGCGUAGUCGAUGGGAAACAGGUUAAUAUUCCUGUACUCGGUGUUACUGCGAAGGGGGGACGGAGAAGGCUAUGUUGGCCGGGCGACGGUUGUCCCGGUUUAAGCAUGUAGGCGGAUGUUCCAGGUAAAUCCGGAACGUCACUAACGCUGAGGUGUGAUGACGAGGCACUACGGUGCUGAAGUGACAAAUGCCCUGCUUCCAGGAAAAGCCUCUAAGCAUCAGGUAACAUCAAAUCGUACCCCAAACCGACACAGGUGGUCAGGUAGAGAAUACCAAGGCGCUUGAGAGAACUCGGGUGAAGGAACUAGGCAAAAUGGUGCCGUAACUUCGGGAGAAGGCACGCUGAUGGUAAGUGAAGCGACUUGCUCGUGGAGCUGAAAUCAGUCGAAGAUACCAGCUGGCUGCAACUGUUUAUUAAAAACACAGCACUGUGCAAACACGAAAGUGGACGUAUACGGUGUGACGCCUGCCCGGUGCCGGAAGGUUAAUUGAUGGGGUUAUCCUCGCGGAGAAGCUCUUGAUCGAAGCCCCGGUAAACGGCGGCCGUAACUAUAACGGUCCUAAGGUAGCGAAAUUCCUUGUCGGGUAAGUUCCGACCUGCACGAAUGGCGUAAUGAUGGCCAGGCUGUCUCCACCCGAGACUCAGUGAAAUUGAACUCGCUGUGAAGAUGCAGUGUACCCGCGGCAAGACGGAAAGACCCCGUGAACCUUUACUAUAGCUUGACACUGAACACUGGUCCUUGAUGUGUAGGAUAGGUGGGAGGCUUUGAAGUGUGGACGCCAGUCUGCAUGGAGCCAUCCUUGAAAUACCACCCUUUAAUGGCUGGUGUUCUAACGUGGGCCCGUAAUCCGGGUUGCGGACAGUGUCUGGUGGGUAGUUUGACUGGGGCGGUCUCCUCCUAAAGAGUAACGGAGGAGCACGAAGGUCAGCUAAUCCUGGUCGGACAUCAGGAGGUUAGUGCAAUGGCAUAAGCUGGCUUGACUGCGAGCGUGACGGCGCGAGCAGGUGCGAAAGCAGGUCAUAGUGAUCCGGUGGUUCUGAAUGGAAGGGCCAUCGCUCAACGGAUAAAAGGUACUCCGGGGAUAACAGGCUGAUACCGCCCAAGAGUUCAUAUCGACGGCGGUGUUUGGCACCUCGAUGUCGGCUCAUCACAUCCUGGGGCUGAAGUAGGUCCCAAGGGUAUGGCUGUUCGCCAUUUAAAGUGGUACGCGAGCUGGGUUUAGAACGUCGUGAGACAGUUCGGUCCCUAUCUGCCGUGGGCGCUGGAGAAUUGAGGGGGGCUGCUCCUAGUACGAGAGGACCGGAGUGGACGCAUCACUGGUGUUCGGGUUGUCAUGCCAAUGGCAUUGCCCGGUAGCUAAAUGCGGAAGAGAUAAGUGCUGAAAGCAUCUAAGCACGAAACUUGCCCCGAGAUGAGUUCUCCCUGACCCUUUAAGGGUCCUGAAGGAACGUUGAAGACGACGACGUUGAUAGGCCGGGUGUGUAAGCGCAGCGAUGCGUUGAGCUAACCGGUACUAAUGAACCGUGAGGCUUAACCUUACAACGCCGAAG
Molecule: ribosomal RNA, 2369 nt
Filed under: Klebsiella michiganensis
Lineage: Bacteria; Pseudomonadati; Pseudomonadota; Gammaproteobacteria; Enterobacterales; Enterobacteriaceae
Description: partial 23S ribosomal RNA
Rfam family: Bacterial large subunit ribosomal RNA
Source: RNAcentral